This 46-nucleotide transfer RNA is filed under the name Ameiurus catus (white catfish). RNAcentral's name for it is "partial tRNA-Pro". The record is from RNAcentral. Lineage: Eukaryota; Metazoa; Chordata; Actinopteri; Siluriformes; Ictaluridae.
AGAAAAAAGAGAUUUUAACUCCCACCACUAACUCCCAAAGCCAGAA